UGAAAUCAAUCAAAAGAUGGAAGGCAAAACUGUUUUUCUAAGUGUGCUCAUAAUGAGUUUGGUCAUGGCACAAAUUCAAGUGGAGGCAAAGAGUUGCUGCCCAACUACGACUGCUAGAAAUAUCUAUAACACUUGCCGUUUUGCGGGAGGCUCCCGACCAACGUGUGCAUCUCUCAGUGGAUGCAAAAUCGUUAACGGCAAAUGUCCUAACGGAUAUACACAUGACACUCUCCAAAACUCAGGUGAUGCUGUCAAUGAAUACUGUAAGUUGGGAUGUACAUCUUCUGUGUGCGCUGCCAUGG
This is a non-coding RNA of Camelina sativa (false flax), 302 nucleotides long. NCBI's taxonomy places the organism in Eukaryota, Viridiplantae, Streptophyta, Magnoliopsida, Brassicales, Brassicaceae. The record is from RefSeq and is a predicted model, not a curated record.